Molecule: non-coding RNA, 30 nt
Filed under: Mus musculus (house mouse)
Lineage: Eukaryota; Metazoa; Chordata; Mammalia; Rodentia; Muridae
Source: RNAcentral
UGCUGGAAUUCUUGGUUCUUGUUGCCAGGU